UCAGGAGAAAGGACGCAGGUUUAUGUUUCGCUUUGAGCGAGGAAAAUAUUUUUUCCAACAACAUGCCUGCAACUAAACAAAAAAUGAAGAUGGCUAACAAGAAACAUCGGGACAAUGUACACAUAAGGGGAAAUGUACCUAAAACAUUAAAGUCAGUUGAAGAACAGUAUCAAGUUGGACCAUAUUUAUUAGCUCUACUUAUUUUUGUUGUCUGUGGUUCAGCUGUUUUUGAAAUUUUUGAUCAUUUCCUGAGAUGAUAAAGAAAAAGUGAGAAAGAAAACCUAUUUCCGAAGAGUUUUGUAUAAACAUGUACGACUUAU
Long non-coding RNA from Mytilus trossulus (common blue mussel), 320 nucleotides. RefSeq lists it as uncharacterized. The record is from RefSeq and is a predicted model, not a curated record. Lineage: Eukaryota; Metazoa; Mollusca; Bivalvia; Mytilida; Mytilidae. The transcript has 3 exons.